AUUGAACGCUGGCGGCAUGCCUUACACAUGCAAGUCGAACGGCAGCACGGGAGCAAUCCUGGUGGCGAGUGGCGAACGGGUGAGUAAUAUAUCGGAACGUGCCCAGUCGUGGGGGAUAACGUAGCGAAAGCUACGCUAAUACCGCAUACGAUCUAUGGAUGAAAGCGGGGGAUCGCAAGACCUCGCGCGAUUGGAGCGGCCGAUAUCAGAUUAGGUAGUUGGUGAGGUAAAGGCUCACCAAGCCGACGAUCUGUAGCUGGUCUGAGAGGACGACCAGCCACACUGGGACUGAGACACGGCCCAGACUCCUACGGGAGGCAGCAGUGGGGAAUUUUUGGGACAAUGGGCGCAAGCCUGAUCCAGCAAUGCCGCGUGCAGGAUGAAGGCCUCGGUUGUAACUGCUUUGUACGGUAACGAAAAGGACUACUGGUUAAUACCUGGGUCCGAGUGACGGUACCGUAACGAAUAAGACACCGGC
RNAcentral lists this ribosomal RNA (478 nucleotides) under uncultured bacterium. RNAcentral describes it as "bacterial SSU rRNA". It matches the Rfam family "Bacterial small subunit ribosomal RNA", at positions 30 to 497 of the family's 1533-position model. The record is from RNAcentral.